CAGACGGAAUGCCUAGGAAGAGUGCGU
RNAcentral lists this non-coding RNA (27 nucleotides) under Homo sapiens (human). The record is from RNAcentral. Lineage: Eukaryota; Metazoa; Chordata; Mammalia; Primates; Hominidae.